Molecule: ribosomal RNA, 253 nt
Filed under: uncultured bacterium
Lineage: Bacteria
Description: partial 16S ribosomal RNA
Rfam family: Bacterial small subunit ribosomal RNA
Source: RNAcentral
UACGGAGGGUGCAAGCGUUAAUCGGAAUUACUGGGCGUAAAGCGCACGCAGGUGGCUGAGUCAGUCGAUUGUGAAAGCCCUGGGCUUAACCUGGGAAUUGCAGUCGAUACUACUCAGCUAGAGUAUGGGAGAGGGUAGUGGAAUUCCCGGUGUAGCGGUGAAAUGCGUAGAUAUCGGGAGGAACAUCAGUGGCGAAAGCGGCUUCCUGGACCAGUACCGACGUUCAGGCACGAAAGCGUGGGGAGCAAACAGG